UACAGAGGUCUCAAGCGUUGUUCGGAUUCAUUGGGCGUAAAGGGUGCGUAGGCGGCGCGGUAAGUCGGGUGUGAAAUCUCGGAGCUUAACUCCGAAACUGCAUUCGAUACUGCCGUGCUUGAGGACUGGAGAGGAGACUGGAAUUUACGGUGUAGCGGUGAAAUGCGUAGAUAUCGUAAGGAAGACCAGUGGCGAAGGCGGGUCUCUGGACAGUUCCUGACGCUGAAGCACGAAGGCCAGGGGAGCGAACGGG
Molecule: ribosomal RNA, 253 nt
Filed under: uncultured bacterium
Lineage: Bacteria
Description: partial 16S ribosomal RNA
Rfam family: Bacterial small subunit ribosomal RNA
Source: RNAcentral